RNAcentral lists this ribosomal RNA (433 nucleotides) under uncultured bacterium. RNAcentral's name for it is "bacterial SSU rRNA". It matches the Rfam family "Bacterial small subunit ribosomal RNA", at positions 29 to 507 of the family's 1533-position model. The record is from RNAcentral.
AACGAACGCUGGCGGCAUGCCUAACACAUGCAAGUCGAACGAGACCUUCGGGUCUAGUGGCGCACGGGUGCGUAACGCGUGGGAAUCUGCCCUUGGGUUCGGAAUAACAGUUAGAAAUGGCUGCUAAUACCGGAUGAUGACGUAAGUCCAAAGAUUUAUCGCCCAGGGAUGAGCCCGCGUAGGAUUAGCUAGUUGGUGGGGUAAAGGCUCACCAAGGCGACGAUCCUUAGCUGGUCUGAGAGGAUGAUCAGCCACACUGGGACUGAGACACGGCCCAGACUCCUACGGGAGGCAGCAGUGGGGAAUAUUGGACAAUGGGCGAAAGCCUGAUCCAGCAAUGCCGCGUGAGUGAAGAAGGCCUUAGGGUUGUAAAGCUCUUUUACCCGGGAAGAUAAUGACUGUACCGGGAGAAUAAGCCCCGGCUAACUCCGUG